This is a long non-coding RNA of Alligator mississippiensis (American alligator), 12492 nucleotides long. RefSeq lists it as uncharacterized. The transcript has 4 exons. NCBI's taxonomy places the organism in Eukaryota, Metazoa, Chordata, Crocodylia, Alligatoridae. The record is from RefSeq and is a predicted model, not a curated record.
GUUUUGUUUUUAAGAGUGAGGGAGUAGCCGUCCCUCAGGCUCCUUCUCUUCUCAACCCCCCUAGAGCCCAGUUGGUUCAGCUCACACACACACACACACACAGAGGAAACAAUAAAUCAACUUUCGCUGCGACCUGAAGAACAGCCACUGUUCUCUCCUCACAGCUUUGGCUGAUGAUCCUUUCCCCUGCAGAGUAUUUUUUUUCUUCUUUAAAAAAAAAAAAAAAAAAGAUGAACUUACUUUACCAGUGACUUCCCAGCUUAAUGGUAUCUGGUUGAGUCUUCUCUUCCACUCAGGUCUGGUUCUAGGGAUUCUCUGUUCCCAGCAGUCUUUUCCAUUUUUUUUUUCUUCAGAGUCGUAUCUCGCUUUUGAUUCUCUCCGCGUGCUGCGCUGCCUCUCCUGGGAAUUUUUUCUAUCUUAAAGGAGCAACUGCUCCAGAAGCUUUGUUUUCCCACUAUCUUCUCCUCUUUGCUCUGCUUGGUCUUUUUCCCUGUGGUAAGUAUUUGACUUAUGACCAGUCCCUCGUCACACCUCCCCUUGCAGGUUCAGGGGGCUAGACUUAGCCCAAGCUGUCUGCUCCAGCUGAGUAGGGAGGCAUGCUUUAAAACUGCCCAGCUUCUGACCCAGGUCACUGCAGGCAUCUACCUAUAUUUCCACAAUCAAAAAUGAAUGUCAGUUCACUUCCUUAUUAGUUCAAUCUACACAGCUUAAACUAACCUUUAACGAUUGAAUCAGUUCAGCCUUGGGCUUUUUGACUGUCUAUACUUAGCCAGGCAGGUCAGGAGACCAAGUUCAGUAAAGAACCCGGAUUUAGGCCCUCACCCUGGAUAGAACCAUCAGCCAAGUUUAGGAGGCAGGAGUCCAGGCUGGGGUUGCUAGGUAGGGGGUCUUGAGCAGGCUGCUAUAGCUGUAUGGGAUCAGGACAUGGGUCAAGGUUAAGCCAUGAGGCAGGAGCCGGCAAUCAGAGGACUGGGCUAGAGUCUGGAGCACAAGGGGCCAAUGGGGAGAAAUGAGCAUGAUCCCAGGAAGCCAACAGGCCAGAUCCAGGAAACAGGAAACCAAAAACAAACAAGCAGGACCUAGGACACUAGGAACAAUCAGGCAGAACCCUGUGACUGGGGAACUAGGAAUCAAAGGUAGGAGCAAGGAAACUAAAAACAAGGGGUGAGAAGCCCAAGGUGAAACAGAGAAUUAUCCUUCCUGUUGUGUAAUCUGCUGGGCUCUGAAGAGCUGCAGUUGUCUGCCCAUGCAGGCAACUGGGGUCAGCUGGGAGUAGUUAGGCAGCCAGGCCCAAAGAAAUUAGGUAAACUCUAAAGGAAAAAUAUACUCAUUUGUCCUUCCUGAUUCCAGAAAGAUGCAAGGGCUCAAAUAGACCCAAGAACUUCUUCAGUGGCACUUGCAAUGUGCUGCACAUUUUUCUUGCAAAUCAGUUUACCAGAUAAUACAGUUUUGGAGGGUGAAAUGAAAACUUCAGAUUAGGAGCUGAAUCUCUGAACACUUUUAUGUUCACCCAUCACUGGUUAAGGGGGCCAUGUUUUUUGUUAGCUUUGCACAUGUUAAUUCUGAGGAGUCCUAUAAUGUGGCCAUCUCGAUUUGAUCCUUUUUUCACAGUGUACUCGCAUGACUUCACAGUUCAACAGAGAAUGGUUUAUUUUGCUUUUGCUAACAUCUGUAGAAUUUAACUGUAAAGUUGUGACUUUGGAGCUCUUGGCCAAUUUUUCUCAUGUUACAGGCAUGAAAGUGUUUUUGGCCUUUGGUCAGGUAGAUUGGAAGAUUCCCAUGUUUAUGACAGUUUUGCAUGUUAUAGUGUCCACUACUUAUAGGGAAUGGAGAGAGGUGCCAAAGUGCUACAUCAUUCCUGAGUCUCUUCUCUACAUUACGAAGUGCUGCUUUGCUUUGGCAAGCAGAGGUGUAAAAAGAUCACACCCUCUAGCUGACCUACCUGUGCCAGCCAGCCCCUCCCCUCCUUCCCCUCAGGGUGGAUACAGUUCUGGCAGCAGAGCUUCUGCCAUUCCAGGAAAUUGAUUCAAUUCUGGCAGUGAGAAAAUUUCUUCUGCUAGUAGUGGUACAUUGACUUAAGGGGCUUUACCACCAUAUCACUGCCACCAUUGCUAUAGCCACACAAGGCCUGUAGUGUAGACUAAACCUUGGAAAUACCUCCAAUCUCUUUAGCUGUUUAAAAAUCAUAGAAUCAUUCUUAAAGGGCAUUUUAUUUAUUUACAAAUGAUGGGGUAACCUGGAAGAAAUAGCCUUUUCCUUCAUACUUGCAGAACACACUAUUAUAUGUACCAACUGCUACUGAUGGGCUUGUAGGCAUCUAGAAUACAUGCUGCCCAUGUCAGUAGCAUGGUUAUGAUGUCUUAUACUGUGUAUUAACUCUUACUUAAACCCUUUUCACUGUAACUUGAACUGACUGUAUUUUUGUUCAUGCUAGUUUUAGCUCAAGCAGCAUAUAGUCCACAGAGCUACUGGAUCCAGCCCACAGAACUGGGGAGGGCUUUGGUGGCAAAAGUUUGGUAACAGUCUAGCAGUGGGGGGAUGGAGGGGGGCUUUGCCCACACCCAAACUGGACCCACACAGCAAGAAGCUGCACCCAUGCCCCAGCUGAGGAGGGGGAAGAAAUGGCAACAGGAAAAAAACAAAGCAGAAGCCAGGUUGAAACACUGCCCUAGCAUGGACACAAUCCAGGUUCUUUCAGCCCAUGGCUCCCAAAGGUUGCUGGCCUCUAGUCUAGCUAAUACAUGAAGUCGAUACAAUAAAACUUUACCACACAACAUGACAUGUGGCCAGAGCAGGAGAGAGUCUCUGCCUCUGACUAAUACUGACCGUUGUAAGUCACCUUGGACCAUAUCCUGCAAAGGCUUGCCCAUGCCCUUAUCUUCAUGCAUUGUGAUUAGUUCCCACUGAUUAUUGUGGGGAUCCUGGAGUGUAUCUUUGUAGAAUCUCUGCCUCAAUUUACCUACCUGUAAAAAUGCAGUAAUAAUCUCCAAAGGGUACUUAUUAUCUUGAGCUAAUUAAUUAUAAAACACAUUGAGAGUCUGAAAUGUUAUGCCCUGGAAAUACUAAUUAAUAAGAUCACAAUAACAUAACAAAGAAAAAUACUAAUGGAAAAAUUCAUACCCUUAAAAAAGAAUGAAUAUUAAAAGAUUGUUAAGGUUUACAAAUUAGGGGGUCAUGUAUUCCCCAGCCCCUUUACUAUGUAAUUUUUUUCCUGGGUUUUGAACUAAAUACAUCUCUAGCAUUUUCUUUCUCCAGCUUCCAGGUGCAAGACUGUGGUAGGGCACUGGUUGUGCCUGCCACUUUAAGGGUCAGAAAGCAGCAGCUGACAGGUGCCUGAUUAGGGCAGCCAUUUUAGAUUCAGGGCUGCCCAUAUAAACAGGGCAGUUCUGAUGCUGGAGCCGAGUAGCAACAACAUCACCUGGCUGGAGGGCUGCUGAUAUCAUCUGGAGAUGGGCACAAGGAAAGGAAGUGAUUGGGUAUCAGGUCACCUGACAGGCCCGUGGCAUAGUCAGGAACAACACCCAGAUCUUCACCCAGUGCUGUGUCCUUUUGAUGACGGCUCUCCAGGAAAAACUUCAGCAGGAUGUCAUCCCUGAAUGGCAUCCUAGAAUGGUCAGACCCUGGUGACAAGGCCAUUCCGUUUGGAUCUGGGAGAAAGGCAGCCAUUUCCCUGGUGAGUGUCCUAAAAACCAGACUCUGGACUAGUCCAGGGUGUUUCUCUCUCUACAGUGAUGACCUUGGAUUUGAAAUCUUUCCUAACAAAGAUUUGAUCGAAGUUGAUGGGUCCAGGGCAAAGUUUCUGUUUUGAUGGCUUGACAUUUUCUGAUGAGGGGUAAAAAUGUUUUGUCUAAAAAUUCCUUCUCAAUUUUAUUGCUGAGCCUGCUGCCUGUCACCCAGUACUGACUCAUUGUUUUCAUAUACUUGUUUCUAUGUCUGGUAUUUUUUGUCUUGUAUGUAAAUGUUAUGUUCUUAGGAAUGGGACCAUGACUUUGGUUUACAUUUAUACAGUGUCUUCUACUAGGCAGUUCUGGUUCAUUUUUGUGUCCUACAGCAAUACAAAUAAUCAAUAAUAAUAACAAUAUAGUCUGAAAAUAAAUCCAUAGGGCCAGAUCCUCAAUGGAGGUAAGCUGGAGUGGCUCCAAAUUAGCUGUGCUGAAUUACAUUAGCUGAGGAUCUGGCUUACCAGGUAAAAUAGAAGCCUGGCUGUGUAAAUACUUAUUCCUACGAGUAAAGGAUCACUCACAGUGAAGAUUAGCAGGAGGGGAUCUGAGUCCUUAAAAUGCACCACUUCUGAAUUAGGCCAAGUAGUUCAUUAAGUUGUGAUAUUGAAUACAGUAGCAACUCAGUUGUCUGAGCUAGUCAAAAAACAGAUUUGUAGGAAACUUGGAACCUGUUUCCAUUUUUCCAGGUUCAAAAUAGACCCAUUUUCUGCGUUUUUGAUUUUUUUAUUUUUAGGUUAUUUUUCCCCUUAGAAAAGUUUGACAUUUUAUUCCAUUUAAUUUUAAUCAGAAUUACAUUCUAGAUUAUAACAAACAUUUUCUUUUACUAAAAAUACAAUGCAGCCCCCUUCCCCCCUCCAAACCACACAUCCUUUUUUAUUGAAUAGGAUUUUGAUAAAAGACAAUAAAAUGUUAUGGAAAUUCUCAAUAGAAACUUUCAACAAUGUUCACAGUGUUUUAUGAAAAGUUUCUAUAUUUUUGGAAAUAUAAUUUUGUAAGAACUUUUUAUAACCUACUGGUGAUUUCAUCUUGAUUGUCUGAAUUCUCCACUAGCCACAUAUAAGUGUAACACACUUUUAGGUUCUUCCUCAUCUGACACCAUCCUAAUUGGCUCAGUGUAUGUGAUGUUGUCAAACCAAUUGUGGUAAUAAACAUUACCAGUGUAUUAGAGUGUGCACUGAGACUCUCUGGAUCCUGUCUCUAAGGGAUGCAUAUAUUUUUGUUUCUUCAUGAGAAGUAGACAUAGUGGAUUUUAAAGGGGAGUAAAAGACUUCAUCGUAUCAUUUUAUAUUCAUUAUUUCAUACCAAAGGUGGGUGGAAUACAGUUCUCAUAUCAAUUUUACACCAGUGUAACAUCAUACUUCCACUUCAGGUUUAUACAGAAGAAUAUCAGACUUCAUUCUGGAAAUAUAUUUUUUAAAAUUCUGUCAGACAAAAUAGUACACAGGCAAUGUGAAGUAUAAGCAAUAGAAAGUUGUGAUGUGUGCAGACUAAGUAUGAGCAUUCCAUCUUAAGGCUAGUCACCCCGGGCUGCAUGCUGCCACCCUGGCUGGCAGAGAAUAGUGUGUAACUCAGUAAGUUCUCCUUUACCCAGUAGCGCCUACACCGUGCAGUCAGUGGACAGCUUGGGGAGAAAGGCAGUACACAGUAAAGGUGAAGAAGCUGGGCAUCAUGUGAUAAUGCCAGGAGCACUAGAAACUCUGCAAAGAUGGGGGUAAAAAAACUGAACAAAGGCUUCAGAAUUUAGCCCUUAUUUCUCCUGCCUUUAAAAUCACAAAGGCAAUGAAUUCACUGUGCUAAAUUCUGCAAUAUGAAAAUGACUAAUGGCUGUGUGACACUGAGAGCAUACGAUCUUGAGAUCCCUGAGAAUGGCAAAAUCAGCCCCCAGUGGCUGGGGGAGGGCGGGGGCACGGCUGCACUGGUGAUGGUGGGAGCCCACCGGUGGCGGAGGUGGGAGCCCGGCAGGGGCAAGCACAAAGCUCCUGAGGAGCUCUUGUAAGUGUAUUUAAGAUAUUUGUGCUGGGGGGCGGAAAUGUGUAUUUAAGAUGAGGGUUUGGCAUUCGCGAAUAGUGAGGGUUUCCUGUAUAUGUAGCUCAACACAAGUCACACAAGAGUCCUGGGUCCUAGGCCCUCUUCAGCUUUAGGGGAUUCCAACCCAUAUCACCUGCUUUUCAGGAGACUGUCCCAACCAGCAGGUUAUGCUGUAGGCAGAAUGGUGCUACCUUCCACCUCUUCUGUUGAAGUUGCCCUAUUGGUCCAAGAGAACAAGACUCAUAGCCAGGGUGGGGGGGGGGAGGAAGGGGUGGCAAGAGAACUGAGCUUAGAACUCCGGGCUUCCAUGUCCUGCAUGAAUACUCUCAGCAUUAGGUACUGAGCAAAAAGAGUGGCACCAUGAGCAUGGUGUGUGCUUGGUACCAAAAAUCCCCCACACUAACUGAGGGAUUGUGAGGUUUAAGGGCUCCCAGCCAGCCUGGUAGGAGCUGCUGAAUCCUAGAUUGACUGCAGCUGUUCAUGAUUGUCCUAUUGGCUGCAGGGGACUGGACAGGAACUGUUAGCCUGGUCCCUUCCUCAAGCAGUUCUUUGGCUGUUCAGAGCUCUUCAGCUUGCAGUUCCUCCUGAGUUUCUGCUUCCCAGUCUGGUCUCCCUGUUCGAGCUCUGUUUCCUUCUUUACUCUCAAUUCCACCUCCAGCCCUAGUCCCCUGUACUACUGAGCCUCAUCUUAUUCUUGGCUUCUGAUUCCUACCUUCAUCUCUGGAUAUCUGGCUCUGACCUUGCCUCAUGGCUCUUGGUUCUUGACUGCAGUUCCUAACCUGGGUCUUCAUGACAAAGGUAGGCUGCUAAUGCUUUGGUCCCCAAGAGGAACUGCCUAGACCCAGCCAAUAACCUAGCCACAGCUAUUGUACGUCUGUACUCCCAGCCACCACCAGAGUGUAGGAGCCUAACUCAGGGUAGCAGGGAGGUGACUACCCAAUCUGGGUCCAGAGUCCUCAUGUGAAGACUUGUCCCUUCUUACCUCUUCUUUUGUCUUUAUCCUUUCAUUUUAUCUCUAUGUUAUCUUCUAUUCUGUCCCCUAGGCCUGGAAUAUUUUCCUUUCUGUAGGAAUCAACCCUACAUGGCACUGGGCAACAUGGUAUAGAUUAUUAAUACAUUCAUUGCCUGUUAUUUCAAGACCAUCCUCCAUUUUUUUCUGUGAGGCACAGAAAUCAUAGAAUCAUAGAAAAAUAGGUCUGAGAGGGACCUCAGAUCAUCAAUUUCAACACCACCUGCUCAAGACAGGAACAUCCCUGUCUAAACCAUCCCAGACAACUGUUUGUCUAAUUUUCUCUUAACGCUUUUAGUGAAAGAGAUUCUACAGUUUCUCCCCUGUUAAUCCUACCAUCUAUUAUAUUAAACUAGGUUUCUCAGUUCAUUUUUAUGCUCAUAAGUGCCUAGAGGGGCACUACAUUUUGUUGGUCAGUACUAGACACAGCACUGGUACUUACCAAAUUGACUUAAUGUAUGUGUGUAUUUUGAUAUGAAACAGAAUAAGUACAACCCCCCUCCCCAUCUGUUUCUCUACUGCCUCACUCAGGCUUGGGGUAAAAUAAAUCAUAAUAAUUAUUAAAAAGGAUAAUAUGGGAUGUUGCAUGGGCAGGUCAGAUAGUGAAGAAAAAGAUUGCAUUAAAUGAGAUCAUGAGCUUAAUUGAAAACGUUAUGAGAUGAAUCUUGUGGUAUGUAUGUAUUGACAGUGGAGGUAAACAUGGAUUAAUAUUUUACAAGUUAAUGACACAUAAGUGGCAAAUAUAGCCCGUGUUAUCAUUCAGGGCGUUGUUUCUAUUUAAGCAGUAGAUUGUAACUCAGAUCCAGGCUCACAUGAGUAAAAUGAGGUGGGUACCUAUAUAUUUUUCUGAAUUGAGGCUUAAAGGUUAUAUUAGCAAGUUAUGCUCCAUGUAGUUUUCUACCCAAAUGUUCUCUUGCUUUAAAUGUUCCUAUUUAAAGUCAUACAAUCCUUUUAGUAUGAGCACAAUUUUUAAUAGUUUAAAGAUGUGUUAUAGAGUUUUCUGUGGGAGAAGAGAAUAAGCUAUUCAGAUAUAAGCAUGUUUAAACAUAUAUAAUAUCAGGGGUUUCCCAGGAUAUCAUUUUGCUUAAAAAUGAGACCUGUAACUGAAAAAGCACUGACCAUAUGAAUAUUGUGUGACUUGGCCUUUGAAUGCUAAUGAAGGUACUAUCCUGGUCUCAUUGACAUGAAUAGGAGUUUUUCCAUUUACUGUACUGGGGACAAGAUUUCAUCAAUAAUGUUUAUAGCCAGCUUAUUUCUUCAUUAUUCUUGACUAACUUUAUUCCUGGUGCCAAAUAAAAUAUAACUUAAAAAAAUAAAGCAUUCAUUAAAUCAUUAAAAAAAGACCCUGAAAAUGUACACUUUUAUCUUGAUGUCCCUAGACUUGGCUUUUGAAGCAUCUUUUUUCACUUGCUAAAGGACAGUAAGAAUGAUUGUGGAGUUAUUAGUCUAAUAGCUAGUCUUCAAGUGGUCAAUGGCAGAUGCUUCACAGGAAGGCAUAAAACAUGUUUAAUAUGCCUGAAAAGUGUUUUAUGAUACCAUAACAGGAAACAUCACCCUUCCUGAUCCCAGCUGAGCACUCAAAUUAUGCAUUAAAUACGAGAAUUUAGAGCCUUUGUAAUGUUUAACUUGGACAAUAUAGCUGCUGUCACUUGUAUAAAUGGGACACUUUUCCCAGAAACUUAGCAGUUUGUCUCAACAACGAGAUGGGCAGUCAUUGCACAAGAGAAUACAACUUUGUGUAAGUUGACCACUGGUGGCAUCUACACAAAACACUGACUGCGCAAUUGUUACUGUGCAGAAAUUUAGUAUUUGGAUAUACAAGUAGCUGGCAUUACUGCACAGUAGUGUCUCUGCAUGACUUCUUGGUGAUGCUGACUGCAUGGUAGCUCAUUACUAAUGUACGAUAGUUUGCGUAGUUUCGUAGCUUCAUGCUGCAUGACAAUAUUGCACAGUAGUAACAAGCUAUUGCACGGUAGUAACAAGCUACUGUGCAGUAGUAAUGAGCUAGUGCACAGUCAGUGUCUCAUGUAGAUGCAGCCACUGUGUGAAAAAGUGAAUAAAUAAAUAUGAAAAAUAUUGUAAUUCCCUCCUAACCAUUUCUUAAAAAUGCUUUCAAAUUCCUUAACUAGGCGUUGGAAAAAUAUAUUUCAUUUCAUCCAGGUUGUCUUAACUGCACCUAAUUAUUCUUCUUUAUACAGGUCACUCUUUCAGAUGGCUACUGCAUCUCCUUUCCAUUUAAACAUAUAUUCAAAAGGUUCAGUUUGCCAUUGAUGCUAUAGAGAUAUGCAUAUUCCCUCCCUUUUUAUAGACUAUUUUAUACAGGAAAGAAUUGCACUCAGGUACAAGCAGGUAGAAUAGAUGUUCAUGAUUUGCAUCUUUCUGUGGGUUCAGAUUGUGCCUGGGGUCUCAGCUGCAAUGCUGUAUUUCUAUUUACUUUAAUGGCUCUUCAGUGAGCCUUGGUGUAAUAAGGUGCACAGAGUCAGUUCAAUUCAGAGCACUAUGCUCUAAGCACUGCUCCUUCUCAGCCAAUUAAAGCUGUUCAACACUGUGAAAAAAAUGUUUUCAACAAAACAUGGCUUUCUAAUCACAGCUAGACCAUCCUUAGGACAUUUCUCAUUUUUAAACCACUUAAGGGGGUUUUCCUCAGGAACCCUGAAACCCACAAAAGCCAAAAACUUGAUUUUUCCAGCAUCAUGAAAAUAUCCUGGCUGAAAGCAUUUUGCAAUUUCAGGUUGAGGGGGUUUGACAAAAAAUUGAAAUCUUUCAAAGAAAAUGGGGAGAAGGGGAUUGUAGAAAUGUUUCACUGGCACAAGAGUGAAUUAAUCAAUCUGGCCCUUAAAAAGAGAAAGGCUCCAUGCAGGAAUUAUAUCAAAUUAUUGGCCUCUGAUUGUGUUGCAAUUUGCUAAUGCCACUUGUGGAGCCUGCGCCUCGCUCCACCUGGCCUAUCGGGGUGUUGCCCCUCCCCUCAACUCGCCUGCCACGACUUGGAUGUAAUCAAUUACCUUCAGAGGGGUCUACAGUGGAGAUCUUUAUCCUGGGUGGGGCCUCCCGAUAGACGGUGUUACUCACGGUUGUCUGACGCGGUGGUCCACAGGGCUUCGCCUCCCCUACACCCCGUCCACACGCCAACCGCUGGGCGAUGCGUUCCAGAUGUUUCCAGGCCCAGUAUGAUGGCCUCAGACCGGUUCCCUGGUUUCCGGUCAUCCUCCCUCCUGCUGGGAGGGAUUCCUCCUUGCUCCUAUCUUACAGAAAAUACUCCUCCGAAUCAGGGGGAGCUGGUGGGUGCUCCCCUUGGUUCCAGCCCCAUCCUGGAGCCUCCACUGUCUCCCCUCUCCUACCGUCGGCAGAGCGCUCCCCUGCCUCCUGAGCGUCAGCCGCUUCAGGAUGCAGAGAGAGUGCCUCGGCUUGCACUCUCUGACUGCCUUUCACUCUGCUGUUUGCGAAAGGCUUCUAGCUCUUGUCUAAGCUGCCUGCUUGAGACCCGCAGGCUGGGUCCUCUCCACUCCGUGUGUGAGCCCGCAGCACAGGUAGCACACCCGUACUCUCUCUCCCUGGCUCCCCCUCUCUCCCUGUCCUGCCGGCGUUUUUAAACCUUCCCGCAGCUGCUAUGGCCGCUGGGAUUGGCUCAGCUGUUCGCCGCGCCAGGAACAGCUGUUGCCAGAGCCGGCGUAAUGGAGGCUCGCGCGGCUGCAGCUGCGGAUGCGGCUCUUCCUCCCGCUGCUCCUCAGCCGGUACGUAUGCCCCUCUGGGGGCUUGCUCUCGGGGUCUGGGGCCUGCGGGUCCCCCCUUCUCUCCCUCACUAGCCUGUGGGGGAACUUCGCCGCCACACCACUGCAUUAUCAUCUAAAAGAAAGUGCCACUGGCAAGUGUGUUGGCUUAGUACAAAUUAGCUUGAUUGAUGAACUGACACCGAGAGACUUUGUUUAAGCAGUCAUUUAUUUCAGAAAACACUAGCAAAUAAAUAUCAGUUAUCUUGUGUAAUUGUAGGGUGAAGUUUUCUGUUUGGAAAUAUGGAUGCAAUUCAAUUUCCUUUUUGCACCAAACCCCGUAAUGUUAUAAAUUUUUAUUAUCUUGAUUCAUAGAACAGACUGCUCAGAACUCUGCAGUGCCAUUCAACCUGUUGAUUAUAUGUCAAGACAGGCAAUAAAUCCUGAUGAACUUUGCCCAGUGCUCUUAUUUGUGGAAGAUUAAAACUUAGGUGUAAUAAAAAAAAAAUCCAUAAUGAGAAGCUGCCUUUGCAGAGAGCUUUUUCCUCAAUAAUUAUUAGCAAGCAAAUCAAAGCAAUUUCACCUGUCAGACUAAUACAUCUAGCCGCCUCUCUCAACUGAAAUCAGAACAACUGCAACUCAAGGCAGUAUCAACAUAGACACUGCUCUGCUCAGUAAAAGGUGAAUGCAUGUAUCAGUAAUUAUCUGCUGGCUUAAACCACUGAUAGAGCCGAAGUGAUUUAAUAGCACCAGUAUAGUUCAGGAUAUUGAAUGAAUAUAAAAAUAAAUUUGAGAUGCAGAAUAUGACAUGAGGUAUGAGAUGUGGCAAGCAUUUGGUGGUGGUGAGAGCGAGGGGUAUGAUCUAAUAGUGCACAGGGCAUUACCCUGAGAGUCCAGAGACAUGGAUUCUAUGCCUGGAUCUACUAACUGUUUUGCUGUACUGAUCUUGGGUGAGGAACUUAAUUUUUUUGUGCUUGUAUGUUUCCACACCCAUCCCUGGUCAAUCUUGGCUAUUUAAAUUGUAAGCUCUUUUACUACACACACACACGCGCGCACACACACACACACACACACACACACACACAGCAUGUGUAGACGAAACAAUAUUUCCUAUUUAUGCUGAUGCAACUGUGUUUGUGUUUGCAUGACCUGGGAUCUCCCUCUGCUCUAAAGUCCAUUUAGCACCUUAAACUAACGCUACUCAAAGAUGUGUUCAUUUAUGGCGCUGUCCAGUUAUACCGCUCCAACUGUGGAUUUGUUCGUGCAAACAGCCAGAGACUCCAAAGACUUCUAACUAAUCCCCUUUGCCACGAGGGUGCGCUGUGUUCCAGCCUUUAGCCAGUAGGUGACGCUGCAUGUUCUUUUUUACCCUCAUCACUCCUUACCCCUCCCUCCUCCCUCACAGCACACAGUGGAGUGGCCAUAGGUUCAGGUUAGGGUGGGUCCGCCCAGAAAAAUUUAUUAUUAUUUUAAAAUGGGGAAGGCCAAUAAUCCCUUAAUUUUCUUCCCCCUUCUUAAUUCUUCCACCCCCCCCCACCUAUGGUGCAUGUCCUCCCCCCAGCCCAUAUACCCUCCUGUCCUUGCACCCCCCACAUCCCCCCUGUCAUGUGCUGCCACUGCAGUGGACAUAGCUUCCGAUGAUAGCUGCAGCAUCACAGUAAUGGUAGUUUUUUGCAAGUAGUUUGAAACUUUGGAGUGAGUGGUUACAUGACUUCUUUCAAUAUUGCAAACCUUCUGAACUUCAUCACAUUCCAUUUCAGAACCACAACAAAAAAAGUCCAGGGGUGGGACGCUGCAUGCCAGACCUGACGCCCAGGAUAUGCAGCAUCUCAGGUGAUAUUUAGAAAACUUUCUUGGGCGGAACUCAUCGGGGGUGGCAACCAGUCCAGUAAUGAAUGAAGACAGUGAAGAGGAGAGUGAAAUAUGUUCAGAUUUUCCGUUUUUUUUUAAUGUUUUUUACUUUUUAUAUAUAUUUAAUAUUGUUAAGCUGCAGCAUUUUCAAAAAAAGUGUUUUAUUUUUGCUCUA